GAAUGUGUUAUUUUGUUCACCAAUAUGUAUUAUACUAUGUAUUUUGUUCCAUUCUAUUUGGGUUUAGGAUUUAUACUUGGGUUUAGGGUUUAUAUUUGGGUUUAGGGUUUAUAUUUGGAUUUAGGGUUUAUAUUUAUGUAAGAGUUUAGUGAUUAGAGUUUAAAGUUUAGUAUUUAUAAGGUGAGAGAGUAUGGUUAGGGUCAACAUUAAUUUUUUCUUUGCAAUUAUAGAUAUUCCAUAAAUUCACUAAUAUAUGCUAUGUUAUUUUCUUUGUUCCAUUCUAUAUGGAUUUUUGGUUUAUAUUUGAGUUUAUGGUUUAUAUUUAGAUUUAUGAUUUACUGAUUAGAAUUUAGGAUUUAGUAUUUAAGGGUCGUGGUAAGAUUGGGAUUUGGAUAUGAUUAGUAUUUAGGGGUUGUAGCUGGGGUUGUAAUCAUAUACUACUUCGGUGAUGUAGAAUAGAAUUCUCGGUACAUAUGUAUGUGGUUAAUAAAUGUAUACGUGGAUGACUCCACCAUAAGAAAGACAUCAUCUACUCUCUCUCACUUGUAACUGAAAACCUUUUAAGCUAUGAGGCAGAACCAGAUAAAAUGGGACAUAAAUAUAUGACAUUUAAUUAUGUCAAAAUCAUUGUUACUUACUUAAUUUACCUUCCAAAUAUGGCUAUUACACAAAUAAGCCCUUGAUAUUAUGCAACUUAUUCAAUUUCUUCAAAGAAAUUAUGUGUAUAGUGAUUAUAGUUAAGAUUAACAGGUCAAUAAUGAUUAUAUUUGUGUAUCAUCAAGAUAAUAACAAGAUGUUGAUCCUUUGAAAUGGAAAUCAUUUUUGUGAUUCGCAUUUUUCCUUUACGGUAUAGUAAUAAACCAGAAAGCUCUAAAAAAGUAUAUUGCACUUAUUGUAUUUUGUACAGAUAUCUCCAAGUAACAAAAAUAAAAAGAAAAAUUUACACUCAUUACACUGGACAAGACAGAUACUCAUCACAAGACAAUACACUAUAAGGACAAGGGUUUGGGGAUCACGAACUUGAGUCACACCUUCAAGCAUCUGUGUAAUAUUUCUCAUGUUAGGUCUCAAUCCCUAUUUUCACAUAUCUCUCUACCGUCCCCACGUCUUCAAUCGCCUCUAAAUCGUUUUCGGUUAGAUCCUCCAACCUCCUGUCUCGAAAACAGUCGUAAGCCCAAUCGAUGAGAAUCACACUUUCAUCAAGAUCGACGGCUUUCUUGCAGCACACGAUUUCUAAAAGCACGACUCCGUAGCUAUAGACAUCUACUUUGGAUGUAAUGGGACUGUUCCUGAACCACUCAGGUGUAACAUACCCUUUUGUUCCUCGGAUGUUGGUGAGUGUAUGCGUUUGGUUCAUCAUCAGAAGCUUUGCUAGACCAAAAGAUUCUAGGUUUGUAAGACGCAUCUAGAAGUAUGUUCUGUGGUUUUAUGUCGCAAUGUAUGAUUUGCUCUUUACAUUCUUCAUGUAAAUACAAGAUUCCGCGAGCAGUCCCAACCGCGAUUCUCUUCCUAUCUUCCCAGCUCGGUCUCGGACGCCUAAAGAGAAAAUCGGCUAGUGUCCCGUGUGGUAUGAACUCAUAGACUAUCAAACGGCUCUGUCCUUCGUUUCAGAAGCCAAUCAGCCUCACUAGAUUCUUGUGAUGGAUCUGACCAUUCACUUUAACCUCAUUCUUGAACUCAUUCUCGUUUUCUUGAGCAACGCGGUCUAGUUUCUUGACAGCCACGCAACUUCAUCACGACCACUAAUUUUUAUAAAUCCUUUGUAAACGAUCCCAAAACCUCUCUUCCAAGCUCGCUGUAUGUAAAGACCCUCAGAUUCAACUCAACUGAAGUUGAUGUCGCGGCACCGAUAUCUCUAGCUUGACUCAGUUUCUUCUUCCUCUUAUUUAUCCUUCUAUAAAGAGCAAGUAAUAUGCAAUUCAAAAGAGCUGAAGUUCCAAGCAAAACCGAACAAGCGAUGAUCAACCAGCCGCUGUUUCUCCCUAUAUAUCUGGUAACUGGAACAUCAACAACGCCUUUUAAAACCUUAAUGAGUGUAUACUGUAUAGCUAUCACGUGGAUCAUCGUUAUUACCAUUAGGUGCUCUUUGUCCGAAAGACAAUGGAAACCUCUUCGCCCAACAUACUCGAUCAUUUCCGUAAACCACAGCAGCACAGAAACAGUCGUUAAGACAAGCAUUUCUACACUUGUCUUCAUCAAAAUUACUGUACCUCUGGUAAUCCCCGUACGGCCAGUUAGUGCGGUCUACACGCAUAAGCUCAUAAACAUUAACAUGCACGUUUUCAGUUUCGUUAUUCUCUGGUCCACAAGUCUGCAUCUCGAAAUCCGGCUUGCAGUCACCGUACUCGUCACUAGGAUCCAUCAACAAGAACUUCUCGGGACAUUGACACUUCGGCCUCUGUCCAUCACCCUAAAUGCAUAUACUAUUAAACCCACAAGCUACAUUACCAAGAGCUACUUUGGAGCUCUUCUCACAUAUAUUAUCCGGCACAGCCCAAGCCAACUCCCACCCGUUGUUCCGGCCUGCUCUUUGGAGUGAUGGUAUUGAGCGAAAACCCCGUCGAAAUGUAGAACGGCGCGGCGAUAUACGUCUCUAGAAGAUAUGGGAACGUCUUCGUCUUUGAUACCAAAUCUUGUUGCAUUGUCGCUUCGUAGAACAUACAUGUAGCCUGACUGGUUGAAAACUAAUCGAGUCCUUUCCUAGUAGGAGAAGUAUACAUCUGUUUCCGCUAGCGACUUGGAGCUGAGAACGAGAAGUUUAAGAUCUCCGUCGUCACUUAGAUGUAGCCUGAAUCUUCCUUUCUUGAAUCUUGUCUCCGUUAGGCGAGAUGAGAGAUUACUUCCAAUCUCUAUACUCUGCAUCAUCCCCAAGUCUAUAUAUGCUUACAAUAACGUAUGAAAUACUAUGAUAUUAUGUGAAACCUAUAAAAUGAUAUCAUAGUUAUUUGACAAAUAUAUAUUAUUCAUAAUUUUAAUAAGAAAACCCUAGACAAAAGUAUCUGCCUCAAUUUUUUUUUUUUUGCAUUAGGUUCAUCAAGUUUUUUUUUCAACCAUGGAAGCUAUGGACAUUAGGUCCAUAAUCUCGCUCAUACUCAUAAUCAGUAUUUAGAUAUUCCUAACAAAAGAAUGAACUUGCGUACCAAAGGUGUUUUGACUCUGGGGCACAAGGUUUUUUUUUUUUUUUGCUAAAGGGGGCACACGGUUUUUACUCGCCCGAAUUAAUAAUAACUAUACUACCCCGUCAGUUUUGAAGUUAGUUAUCAUGCGAAAAUUGACUCACCUGAGUAGGCAACAGAGUGUCGGUGGGAUGACCGAAGCUCGACCACAAAUCUUCGCCGGAAUCUUUGCUCAGCAACCGGAAGUUUCCAGCGUCCGUUAUGUGCCCUCGAGAAACAGAGCCACUACCUGGGGGAAGUGAAGAACUCCAAUGCUGUUGACCUCGAGGGUCUGUGAUGGCCAGACCGCGAUCUGCUGCAAAUGUAACCUUCGAACCCUCAGGGACAAGACCGGUGGUUGUGUUGACUGCUUGUGCGUGCCACACGAUGGUUUUGUCAGGAAUCUUGUCGAACCAAAUGGAGAGAGUGAAACCAUCGUUUGGCUGGAUCUUGCGGAACCCGAACGAUGCUUUCGGCGCGGGGCUGCUUCAACAGAUCAAAACGGUAGUUGUAAAACAAGUAAAAGAUAAAUCAUUGAACAAGAGAGGAAACUCAUUUUACUGGAAGAUCUUGAGAUUGUUCAAGAUUUACAUAGGCCCUGUUCGUUUGCUCAGUUGACUGAUCCAUCUGGGUGAAGGUGAGUAUUGAUGUUCGUUUAGUAGACUUAAUCGGUACAUCCAGAUGGAUCAGUUGGGUGAGUUUCGAAAACUCAGCUGAAUUUUUUUAAAAAAGCUGGCUGAGUCUUCACCAUGCAUCUAGCUGCAGCUGAUUCAGUCAAAAACGGUCAAUGACCAAAAUAACCCCCCCACAUAACCCUAAAUUUAAUUUUAAUCUCUCAGCCUCUCUCUCUCACGCUCUCUCUCUCUCUCUCUCUCUCUCUCUCUCUCUCUCUUUUGGCGGCCAAUCUCUCUCUCUCCGGCCACCUCUCUCUCCGGCGACCUCUCUCUCCGGCGACCCCUCUCUCCGGCGACCUCUCCCUCUCGCUCAAGUAAGAUUGUGUUGUGAGUUUUCUGUUUUGUUGAAUCGCUUACAUAUGAAAUCCAAUCUCUCUUUCAGGUUCUCUCUCUCACUCCGGCGACUUCAGCUCCGGCGACCUUAGCUCCGGCGACCUCUCUCUCUAACUCAAGUAAGAGUCUCUGAGAUCUCAAUGUUGUGGGUUUCUGUUUUGUUUGGAAUAGUUUUAUCACCUCACCAUAUAUGAAUCUCUCUCUCUCUCAGAUUCUCUCUCUCUCAGGCUCUCUCUCUCACUCCGGCGACCUCAGCUCCGGAGACCUUAGCUCCGGCGACCUCUCUCUCUAACUAAAGUAAGAGUCUUUGAGAUUUAAAUGUUGUGGGUUUUCUGUUUUGUUUGGAAUAGUUUUAUCACCUCACCAUAUAUGAAUCUCCCUCUCUCAGGUUCUCUCUCUCAGAUUCUCUCUCUCACUCCAGCGACCUCAGCUCCUAAGACUCUCUCGCUCAAGUAAGACUCUCAGGGAUCUAAAUGUUGUGGGUUUUGUAGAUUGUUCUUCUUCAAGUAUGUAGUUUAUAAGUCUGUACUUUGGAAUCAAUUAUCUUCAAGUCUCUAGUUUAUAUCCUAUAAGUUAUGUUAUGGGUUUUGUUUGCAUCUUCAAGUCUCUAGUCUGUACAUUAAUAACUUUCAUUGUUGUGUUCUCUUUGAAUAUAUUUGCCUAUCUUUUUGUUGAAUACAAAGCUCUUGUCAUGUAUCAGUCUUUAUAAGCUUUGCUUAAGUGGAUUUGCCAACAUUGUUUAAUGGUGUCCUGUGUCCCACCUUUCUUUUGGUGUCUAGCAGGUGCAACAAGAAGCUUUCUCAUUCUAUUAAACAAUGACAUCCAUCCCUGGAUCUGAUGUGAGUAUAUUCCACUCUAAUCUUUUAUUUGAUCUCAGUUUUGUCAAGUGCUUUUCUUAUUAUCUUGAAUCUUCAAAUAAGAAUCUUAUAUGGAGUGACGAGCAAACACGGUUCUUUCUUCAACUAAGACUUGAUGAGAGUUUGAAAAGAAACAUAAGAAAGCAGAUGGUUAAUGAGGCUGGGAGACAGGUGAUCAUGGAUAAGUUCUAUGAGGCAUUUGGUAUAAAAAUUCCAUGGAGAAAAUUUGGGAUAAAGUACAAUACUUGCAAGAAGCAGUACGACUCUUUUAAGAAGUUAACUCGGAACAGAACGGGACUUGGUUUUACUUCAACUGGAUCCAUCAACAUGAGUGAGGACUGGUGGAAUGAGCGAUGCAAGCAAAGAGUGAUGAAUAUAUGAGCUGAAUAAAUGGGUGAAGAUUGUGACAGCAACAAUGGCUCUCCACAAUUUUAUAAGAGAUUCAAACCAUGAGGAUUGUGAUUUUGCACAUUGGGAAAGAGUGGAAGAAUAUGAACAUCAUGGGGAUGAAGAUGAUCAUGUUGCAUACGUACCAGCUGGAGAUAGAGUCAUGGAAGCUAUACGAGAUUCCAUUACUGAAGAGAUGGCGAGAGGACGUCGACUUCCAUACUAGAUGUAAGUUGUUUGAUAAGUUGUUGUUUGAUGGUGUCUUUUGAAGCUUUGUAAUGUGAAUUGAUGAUCUCUUUGUGGCAAAUGCUUAUUCUAGUAUGGGUUUGUAGUUUUGUUUCCUUUGGACCAAUUGAUAAUGCAAACUCAUUAUCCUUUUAUGUUUAAGUUUUUAUUUACCAUGAUCUAUUUAAAGUU
Molecule: long non-coding RNA, 5823 nt
Organism: Brassica rapa (field mustard)
Lineage: Eukaryota; Viridiplantae; Streptophyta; Magnoliopsida; Brassicales; Brassicaceae
Source: RefSeq, a predicted model, not a curated record